RNAcentral lists this unclassified non-coding RNA (707 nucleotides) under Penaeus japonicus. Its description in RNAcentral is "vicilin-like seed storage protein At2g18540, transcript variant X1". The record is from RNAcentral. Lineage: Eukaryota; Metazoa; Arthropoda; Malacostraca; Decapoda; Penaeidae.
UUGACACCAGUGCUACGGCCGAACACCCAAGUGUUUCCCCUUUCCCCUUGGCUGCUUUCCCUCUCCUAGUAUGCCAAACUAACCCGAGUCCGAGAGCAAAAAGUUGGUCGUAGGGAAAUAAUCCGCCAUAGGACGAGAGAGGGACCAAAAUGCGAGCGGGAAUGUAUUAAAGAAUUAAGAACUGGUGAAGACGAACGUGUUGCUUCCAUAUCAGGAUGACAGCAUCUUGCACAAAAAAUUGACCCUUUCACCCUUCAGGCAGAAGGAGCAAGCGGAGGAAUCCACGAAGGCUGAGCUGAGACGCCGAGCCGACGCGUCUCAAGCCUACGUGGCGUGGCUCGGGUCACACCCACGCCUCUCUCGCAGGUACGACUCGCGGGCGUACUCGGGGGGGAGGGUCGUGACCUACUAUGACCGGGGUCGUCCCUCUUCGCCUACCAUGGUCAACCCGAUGCCGUGGAAAAGGCUCUGACAGGGUCUUUGAAUAGGAUGUUUCAUAGGCGGUGUCUUUGUAUUCUCUAUUUCUGUGUAUGGUGUAUAGUUUGGGAAUUAAAGGAGAAUAAGAGGAAAUUGCGGGAGUAAAGAGGGAAAUGGAAAUAAUUUUCACGAAAUGCCAUGCUUUAUUUAUUAGUUUAUUAAUGUUUAUUGUAGAGUAUGUUGAAUUCCACUGCUACGCAACGGCCAAACAAAUAAAAUAUAUUUAACUA